GCAGACACACUCUGUUCUUUGCUGCAGACUCCAGCUCAGGACUUUUUCUGUCUGCUACAUGAAUGUGCAGAAUGGAAUGCAUGACUGGGUUGUGUCAAAUCCUUUCUCACUCUGUUCUGCUACAGCACA
This is a small nucleolar RNA of Syngnathoides biaculeatus (alligator pipefish), 129 nucleotides long. RefSeq annotates it as small nucleolar RNA SNORA77. NCBI's taxonomy places the organism in Eukaryota, Metazoa, Chordata, Actinopteri, Syngnathiformes, Syngnathidae. The transcript has a single exon. The record is from RefSeq and is a predicted model, not a curated record.